CACGGAGUGCUUGCCGAGUGUUGAACCCGCCUUGCGUCCCGGGGAUAAAUGCCACCUGGUCACGAUCUGAUCAGUCACACGGAGUGUUUGCCGAGUGUUGAACCAGUCUUGCGUCCCGGGGAUAAAUGCCACCUGGUCACGGUCCCUGCAGCAAGAAAAGGAAAUCGUCCUUAGGACUAGAAGUCUAAGUGAGUCCUAAAGUAUUGGAAGAAAAUUCUAAAAUAUACAUUGAGGUUCUACCAGGAAAAGAUUGAGUUUAAACAAAAGAGCCUGAGCUAAUUCUUCCAGAAGGUUUGUUACCUUGAAUUCAGAGCCCUUUUACGAGUAUAUUAGAAAAAUAAGUACUCCCACAGUGUCAGUCGAUUCAUGUAUUAAUGAGAUGAGAGCUAACAUUAAUGAAACUAACUCUAAAGUAGUUGACUGCCAAGCUGAUUGUUAAAUUGGUUAUUAUGGAAACAGGAGAACCAACUCACACACUUAGAAAUGAGGUCCCAGACUGGAAGCACUGGGAAAUGUAGCUGCUCAUAAUCUAAGUUAAAUAAUUCCUUGACAAUCUGAGUAGAUCUAUAUCAACGUGGCUGUCUUAUAUGUAAUUUAGGGUGUUUAGUAGGAAAUUAUCGAAUGGACUUCAUGAUUCCCUAGAGCUUAUUUUUGAGAGGUGCUAGUGAAUCAGGAGGGGAAAAAAUGAAUGCUCAAAAAAGUCCUAUUUCCAUCUUACACAUUUGGGGAAACUGUAAGAAUAUGUCCAAAGAAUCUUGGUCUUCAAUAGUUUUAUAUACAGUAAUAACUAACAGCAUAAAAUAGCACUUAUUUAGAUAGAAUUGAUGGUAGACAUGGCAGUACUACAUCCUUUUUUACAAUGUCUGAGCGUUUGUAGUACUUCAGACCUUUCCAUCAGGCAUCAACAUUAAAUAUUGAAUACCUCUAGAGAGUGUGAAAAUAAUUUUGUCUUUGGAAGUAGUUAACGUGAAGUUUUUCCGUGUGUCCCAUUGGACUUUUCUAGUGAUGAUCCUCCUAGGAUGCUUUAUCAGUAGGUGUCUGGAUUUUAUGGACUAAAAAACUGAUAUUUUUUUUUACAGUUGAAAUCUGUAAAUCAUCUUUAUACUUAAUUUUCUAUGUCCUUUCAUAGCAAAAAGUAAGCAAAAUAUGCCAAGACAAACCUUGAGCAUAACCGUUGAGGAACAAGAACUGUCGGAGAUCUAUGUGUGUGUAUCUGUAGGUACAUCCAUGCAUACAUGGCAAGAUUUAACAGAAAUCAUAAUCCCGACAUCAUCUGUGGUUAAUGUCACAGCUCUUUUCUGUCGUCAGCCUCUGUUUUUCUCUUUGGGCGUUUGUUGAAAAAUACUCGGCCUCAUGUCUUUAGCUCUGAGCCUUUAACUGUAAUCCUUGAAUUCUUAAUUUCAGUUCAGAAACCCUAGUCUUAGAACUCAUGAGUCUCCAGAUUUCCAUGACUGUCACCAAAAGUUGAAAAUCCUAUAGGUUUGCCCGUUUUUUUCUUUUUUAAACUAAAGACUUCAAAGAAAGAAAAGAAAAAAAAAAUGCUUCUUUCUGUCUUGACAAACAUGAGGAAGAAACUGCAAUCAGGAAUACAGGUGGAAGCAACUCCUUCCGUAGCCUCCCCUUGUACCUUUAAAAGAGCUUUGUCAUGUGGUUAAUGAUGGAGAAAGUUGACAACAUGCAUUGUAUAUGUCUGCUGUCCGCAGAGUGUAUUGUGUGACCAUAUUUUUUUCCCAGUCAUUGAAAGGAUUCUCCCAGUGUGAUACUCUUAAUUUAAAAAGUGUUUUUUUUCUCCUUUAAAAUAGUCAUCAUUUGGAACUGGAGGGU
Long non-coding RNA from Canis lupus familiaris (dog), 1824 nucleotides. RefSeq lists it as uncharacterized. Lineage: Eukaryota; Metazoa; Chordata; Mammalia; Carnivora; Canidae. The transcript has 3 exons. The record is from RefSeq and is a predicted model, not a curated record.